GAUGAACGCUGGCGGCGUGCCUAAUACAUGCAAGUCGAGCGAACAGACGAGGAGCUUGCUCCUCUGACGUUAGCGGCGGACGGGUGAGUAACACGUGGAUAACCUACCUAUAAGACUGGGAUAAAUUCGGGAAACCGGAGCUAAUACCGGAUAAUAUAUUGAACCGCAUGGUUCAAUAGUGAAAGACGGUUUUGCUGUCACUUAUAGAUGGAUCCGCGCCGCAUUAGCUAGUUGGUAAGGUAACGGCUUACCAAGGCAACGAUGCGUAGCCGACCUGAGAGGGUGAUCAGCCACACUGGAACUGAGACACGGUCCAGACUCCUACGGGAGGCAGCAGUAGGGAAUCUUCCGCAAUGGGCGAAAGCCUGACGGAGCAACGCCGCGUGAGUGAUGAAGGUCUUCGGAUCGUAAAACUCUGUUAUUAGGGAAGAACAAAUGUGUAAGUAACUAUGCACGUCUUGACGGUACCUAAUCAGAAAGCCACGGCUAACUACGUG
This 497-nucleotide ribosomal RNA is filed under the name uncultured bacterium. Its description in RNAcentral is "partial 16S ribosomal RNA". It matches the Rfam family "Bacterial small subunit ribosomal RNA", at positions 28 to 507 of the family's 1533-position model. The record is from RNAcentral.